Molecule: unclassified non-coding RNA, 315 nt
Filed under: plant metagenome
Description: partial contains 5.8S ribosomal RNA, internal transcribed spacer 2, and large subunit ribosomal RNA
Rfam family: 5.8S ribosomal RNA (bases 1-105)
Source: RNAcentral
GAAAUGCGAUACGUAGUGUGAAUUGCAGAAUUCCGUGAACCAUCGAAUCUUUGAACGCACAUUGCGCCCCCUGGCAUUCCGGGGGGCAUGCCUGUCCGAGCGUCAUUGCUGCCCUUCAAGCCCGGCUUGUGUGUUGGGUCGUCGUCCCCUCCGGGGGACGGGCCCGAAAGGCAGCGGCGGCACCGCGUCCGGUCCUCGAGCGUAUGGGGCUUUGUCACCCGCUCGAUAAGGACCGGCCGGGCGCCAGCCGGCGUCUCCAACCUUUUUUUCUCAGGUUGACCUCGGAUCAGGUAGGGAUACCCGCUGAACUUAAGC